RNAcentral lists this long non-coding RNA (351 nucleotides) under Androctonus crassicauda. Lineage: Eukaryota; Metazoa; Arthropoda; Arachnida; Scorpiones; Buthidae. The record is from RNAcentral.
CCAGGUUGGUCUAAUGGAAUCAGUUUAUUUCUAUGCUCUUCUUCAGUUUUUCUGAAAAGACUUCUCAUGAAUCUGUAGCUGUACCCAUGCUUUCUCCCAACCUUGUAGAUCCUCUGCAACUCUGCUGUGCGGAGGGUUUCAUCGCUACAGUGUGUGAGGCAUCGACGGAAGUAGGAUGUAAAGGCGGACUUCUUAUAUGUCCACGGGUUGAAAGACCAUCUAGGGAUGUUUGUUGGGGUGGUUGUAGGUUUAACAUAAACUGUGGUGCUGAAGGUACCUUCUAAAAGAUAAAUUUUGAUAUCUAGGAAAUUGACUUCAAUGGGACUUGCUUGCGCUAGUUUUAGAUUGAGC